Molecule: long non-coding RNA, 201 nt
Filed under: Gallus gallus (chicken)
Lineage: Eukaryota; Metazoa; Chordata; Aves; Galliformes; Phasianidae
Source: RNAcentral
CACUGGCCUACUGCAGGGAUUGCUCAAGGGCUGAAAGGCAAGCCUUGUCACUGCUUGUGAGGAAGAAGAACAGAAGCCCCAGUGACAGAAGCAUCAGUGGUUCUGUGUUUGGGAGUCAUCAUGCUCGCAGUACAGCGAACAGCUGAGGUGUGAACACUGCCAUGUGGCAAGGGAAAAGAACCCAGCUCCAAGACAGCACCA